CCCUUAGAUGUUCUGGGCCGCACGCGCGCUACACUGAUUCAUGCAACAAGUUUUGUCCUUGGCUGAUAGGCCUGGGUAAUCUUUGAACGUGAAUCGUGAUGGGGAUAGAUGAUUGCAAUUAUUCAUCUUCAACGAGGAAUUCCUAGUAAACGCAAGUCAUCAGCUUGCAUUGAUUACGUCCCUGCCCUUUGUACACACCGCCCGUCGCACCUACCGAUUGAAUGGUCCGGUGAAAUCUUCGGAUCUGAGAGAUGUCUGAUUAAUUUCGGACGCCUUUUGGAAAAGUUGCUUCAACCUUACCAUUUAGAGGAAGGUGAAGUCGUAACA
Molecule: ribosomal RNA, 327 nt
Filed under: uncultured eukaryote
Lineage: Eukaryota
Description: partial 18S ribosomal RNA
Rfam family: Eukaryotic small subunit ribosomal RNA
Source: RNAcentral